AGUGUUGGCUCGCGACUGCGGCGGACAUGGUGCACGGGCACAGCCAGCAUGCAGUGUGUGAGAGCUACUCUACACACCUGCCUGCAUGAUUGCUGAUGCAACACGGAAGAAAGAACUCUUGAGCAACAAGAAUAUAUCAGCAACGUCCUUUCCAGAAGCUACAGCAGAACAAGCGGCAGUUUUACUACAAGUACCCUUACUAACAGAAAUCGGGAGUUGUACUACGAAGCUCGCUCUGUACGAGUCAUUUUCGCCGAACUAUUGUUGUCUAAUAAAGGCUCUUCAUGUUGAGCA
Molecule: long non-coding RNA, 294 nt
Organism: Rhipicephalus microplus (southern cattle tick)
Lineage: Eukaryota; Metazoa; Arthropoda; Arachnida; Ixodida; Ixodidae
Source: RefSeq, a predicted model, not a curated record